This 439-nucleotide ribosomal RNA is filed under the name uncultured bacterium. RNAcentral's name for it is "partial 16S ribosomal RNA". It matches the Rfam family "Bacterial small subunit ribosomal RNA", at positions 339 to 795 of the family's 1533-position model. The record is from RNAcentral.
CUACGGGUUGCUCCAGUGGGGAAUAUUGCACAAUGGAGGGAACUCUGAUGCAGCAACGCCGCGUGGAGGAUGACGCAUUUCGGUGUGUAAACUCCUUUUAUAUAGGAAGAUAAUGACGGUACUAUAUGAAUAAGCACCGGCUAACUCCGUGCCAGCAGCCGCGGUAAUACGGAGGGUGCAAGUGUUACUCGGAAUCACUGGGCGUAAAGCGCAUGCAGGCGGUUAAAUAAGUUGGAAGUGAAAUCCUAUGGCUCAACCAUAGAACUGCUUCCAAAACUGUUUAACUAGAGUCUGGGAGGGGAAGAUGGAAUUAGUAGUGUAGGGGUAAAAUCCGUAGAGAUUACUAGGAAUACCAAAAGCGAAGGCGAUCUUCUGGAACAGUACUGACGCUGAGAUGCGAAAGCGUGGGGAGCAAACAGGAUUAGAUACCCCCGUAGUC